CUGUGUGAGGGUGUGUUGGCGCAUGCCUGUAAUCCCAGAACUUGGGAGGCUGAGGCAGGAGGAUCACUGUGAGUUUGAGACCAGCCUGGGAUACAUAGUGAGUUCCAGGUCAGUCUCAAUUACAUAGUGAGACUCAAAACAAAACAAAACAAAAAAACUAAACUGUGUGAGUCUUAAGUUGUCUUUAAUGCCCCUGCUUGUACUGUGAAUUCACUGGGUCUUGGGCUUUUCUGAAUCUCUUCUGCUUGUGUCUAGAGGAUCAUGGAAUUAAAUCCACAGCAUAAGUAUGGGCUCCAAAUACUGCAGAGGAAGGAGAAACAGAGGUUCUCUGAUGAAUAUUAAGUCCAGGCAUCACAACCACAGACAAGGUUGGAAGAAGCUUCUGCUUCCUAACAACUCUCAUAAGCCAUGUCCAACAAAAAGGUCCUGGCAUCAAGAGGCAGAAAAUGAAAAAUCCAGGGCUGGCUUGACCAUUACCCAAGAGCCCAAGGUCUUCACCCUUUCCAAGGCUCCAUCUCCUCCACAGGAAUAUGGAAGUAGCAAUGUCUGCUCUGCUUACCUUCCUGGAUGGUUAUGAGAACACCACAAAAGAACAGCUGGGGUGCUGCUCAGCAGUAGAACACUUACCUAGCUAUACAAGAAGCCCUGAGUUCAAUCCAGCACCGCAAAAUAUUUUAAAAUGACAAAUGAACAAAUAUGAAAGUACCCUAAAAGUUUCAAAGACCAC
RNAcentral lists this long non-coding RNA (727 nucleotides) under Fukomys damarensis (Damara mole-rat). RNAcentral describes it as "lncRNA (ENSFDAG00000033435.1)". Lineage: Eukaryota; Metazoa; Chordata; Mammalia; Rodentia; Bathyergidae. The record is from RNAcentral.